CCUACGGGUGGCAGCAGUGGGGAAUAUUGCGCAAUGCGGGGAACCCUGAUGCAGCGACGCCGCGUGGGUGAAGGAGCACCUCGGUGCGUAAAGCCCUAUCGGCAGGGAAGAAACAGACGGUACCUGACUAAGAAUGCAUGGCUAACUACGUGCCAGCAGCCCCGGUAAUACGGAGGGGGCACGCGGUCUCCGGAUGGACUGGGUGUAAAGGGAGCGUAGACGGCGGCGCAAGUCUGGAGUGAAAGCCCGGGGCCCAACCCCGGGACUGCUCUUGAAACUGCGGCGCUGGAGUACGGGAGAGGCAGGCGGAAUUCCUGGUGUAGCGGUGAAAUGCGUAGAUAUCAGGAGGAACACCGGCGGCGAAGGCGGCCUGCUGGACCGUGACUGACGUUGAGGCUCGAGAGCGUGGGGAGCAAACAGGAUUAGAUACCCGGGUAGUC
This 440-nucleotide ribosomal RNA is filed under the name uncultured bacterium. RNAcentral describes it as "partial 16S ribosomal RNA". It matches the Rfam family "Bacterial small subunit ribosomal RNA", at positions 338 to 795 of the family's 1533-position model. The record is from RNAcentral.